AAUAAAAAAAAACAAGAGAAGAGGGUAUUUUGGUAAGUUAACUUUUGGUACAAUGCAAAAAAUAGAAACUAAGGUAUCGUUUGGUUCGGGGAUAAGCAAAAAGUGCCUAUUCCAGAGAUAGGUAUAAAUUGAGAUAUACGCGGGGAUUAGAUCAAUUUGCGUUUGGAUGAAAAUUGGCUUAUUCUUGGGAUUAAAAAAAAUAGCGUUUGGUUAGAUACGAUAGAAUAAAAAAAAUAGUAGAUUUUUAUAAAUAAAAAAUAAUCAUAUUAUCCUCUUAUUAUAUUUAAAUUUAAAUUUUUAAAUUUCAAACUUUAAAUUUAAGAUCAAAUUUAAAUUUAAUAAAUAUAAAAUAUCAAAUUUUAAAUUUCAAAAUUAAAAUAUCAAAAUUAAAAUUUAUAAUUUAUAAUUUAUAAUUUAAAAUUAUAAACUUUAAUUUUGAGAUUAUAAAUUAUAAAAUUUAAAAAUUUAAAAUUUUAAUUUUUAAAUUUUUAAAAUAAGAAUCAGGGUGGGAACAAUUAAUAAAAAUAAUUUAUUAUAAUAAUUUUAUAGAUUUUUUAAAAAAUUCUACUUAAACUUAAAUUUAAUAAAAAGAAUUUAUUAUAAUACUUAAAUAUAAUUUAUUAUAAAUUUUAUUAUAUUAUUUAAAUAUAAAUAAUAUGUAUUAAUAUAGUAUAAUUAAUAAUUUUAUAAUAAAAAUAAUGUAUUAUAAUAUAUAAUAUAUUAUAUUUAUAUAGUUUAGUUUUAAUUCAAUUUAUAAUUUUAAUUAAGUUUGAAAUUUAGCAUUGGAAUAGUGCUAUUCUAUCAAAAUAGUGGAAUNUUCUACUUAAACUUAAAUUUAAUAAAAAGAAUUUAUUAUAAUACUUAAAUAUAAUUUAUUAUAAAUUUUAUUAUAUUAUUUAAAUAUAAAUAAUAUGUAUUAAUAUAGUAUAAUUAAUAAUUUUAUAAUAAAAAUAAUGUAUUAUAAUAUAUAAUAUAUUAUAUUUAUAUAGUUUAGUUUUAAUUCAAUUUAUAAUUUUAAUUAAGUUUGAAAUUUAGCAUUGGAAUAGUGCUAUUCCACCAAAAUGGUGGAAUAACAAAUUCCUUGCUAUCCCGGGAUAACCCGAAAUAGCAAGAUUUGACCGGAAUAAAAUAUUCCGGCCAAUUUUCAUCCCGUUUGACGGAAUAGUGGGGAUAAUUUUCGUUAUCCCCGCUUAUUCCCCCAACCAAACG
RNAcentral lists this long non-coding RNA (1209 nucleotides) under Ananas comosus (pineapple). Its description in RNAcentral is "long non-coding RNA (ACOM_LNC031052)". The record is from RNAcentral. Lineage: Eukaryota; Viridiplantae; Streptophyta; Magnoliopsida; Poales; Bromeliaceae.